Sycon ciliatum is the source of this 907-nucleotide long non-coding RNA. RefSeq lists it as uncharacterized. NCBI's taxonomy places the organism in Eukaryota, Metazoa, Porifera, Calcarea, Leucosolenida, Sycettidae. The transcript is spliced from 2 exons. The record is from RefSeq and is a predicted model, not a curated record.
GUCUUGCUUAGCAGCGUUAUUUAGGUCGACUCGGCAAAUGGCACCACAUAAUAGAACGGAGGAUGUCACAGCGCAGCGCGCGGUGGACCGCUCUCGGAAGUGGUACUACGUCACCAGCAGCUAAUGGAUCAACUCACGUUACUGGCAUGCCUUUCAAAUCAUCCUGUCGCUGGGCUGCAUGCCGUAUCAGACAGAGUGCUAGUAAGUAUUGUGUGUCUGAACUAAAAAAGCGUACAAUUCUUCCUCGAGCCACCUCGACCUGGAUAGGUCCUGCAUAAGGCCCUUCGAUAUGCGGAUGUGGAUGACAGUGUUGCACUGGGGCUUAGUCGAUUCGAAGUGAUGGGACACGAAUGGCCGCGUAGCUUGCGGCGGUGACAUCCAAACGUCGCCUCCGCUACGUAGGUCUACGGCAGGUGCUCUGAUUUCACCUUCAAAUGUGUGGCAUCCACAUUCAGGCGAUAGCAACGUCCAGCAAGGCGUCAAGGGGUCAUGGAAGGGGACAACUACGUACCACAGCAACUUCAGAUCAUGUGGCGCUAACCACACCUGCACCGCGCCGUACUUAGCUGCACAUAUCACAAGUAAGUUUACAAUGGGAUUGCAUGCAAUGGAGGUUGCAUGACGAUCGUACGAGAGCAGCAUGUUUCGAUGAUCCGACUCGUAUUAUAUUCGGUACUCCUUUUCUCGACUUACCCCUGCCUCCACUCAUUGCGAUUCCCAUCCUCCCUUUCUCCCAUGUGCAUGCAUUCCUUACGUCACGUUACUAUUACUUGAAGUAACUUACCUCUACUGUUUCGUUCAUACUACUAUUACUAGCCGCCUUGCGAUUGCUACAGCUAACGUAUUGCAUGUGUCACCUAAUAUUUUAGCCUCAUUAAAUUUUGCUCUAUAUAACUACUUGAAGUUC